Molecule: long non-coding RNA, 551 nt
Filed under: Homo sapiens (human)
Lineage: Eukaryota; Metazoa; Chordata; Mammalia; Primates; Hominidae
Description: HSALNT0382128
Source: RNAcentral
UAAACCUGUACAUCCUGCACAUGUACCGCUGAACUUAAAAUAAAAGUUAGAAAAAAAAAAACAAAAACAAAGAAUUUGAGCCUAGGUCACUUGUUCCCUUUCCCUGCCUCAGUGAAAUCAUGAGUUGAGAUACAGCUUCUACCAGCCUGGGUCCCCAGGAUCCAAAUCAGGAUACCACCUUAAAUUUAACAUAAUGCCCUUAAAAAUGAAAAAGUCCGCAAGCCAUGUUAUCAUCUGGAUUUCAACAAAGAAAAGUGACUCCAGCAUGCAGAGUGGGAUCAACUUGCUCUACCAACUCUGGAUCUUCUGUCAUCUGGAAAUGACGGGGAUCUUGUACUCACGGGCAAUGCCUGCCUACUAUUAUCUUUGGAAUCAGCAUGUGAGGCCCCCUACAGGUGAGAACCAUACAACUGUACAACCCCACAUGUUCUCUUAAGCUCCCAUACUACCCCUUGUAGCAGGAACCAAGGAAAGGGAAACUCCAUCUGCACUCACGGCUCACAACUUUAUGUUUGAACCUCUUCUCCAACUGAUUCCUUGAACCCUGUUCU